This 305-nucleotide ribosomal RNA is filed under the name uncultured bacterium. Its description in RNAcentral is "bacterial SSU rRNA". It matches the Rfam family "Bacterial small subunit ribosomal RNA", at positions 333 to 655 of the family's 1533-position model. The record is from RNAcentral.
UGGGUCCUACGGGAGGCAGCAGUGGGGGAUAUUGCACAAUGGGGGGAACCCUGAUGCAGCGACGCCGCGUGGGUGAAGGAGCGUUUCGGCGCGUAAAGCCCUAUCGGCAGGGAAGAAGAUGACGGUACCUGACCAAGAAGCCCCGGCUAACUACGUGCCAGCAGCCGCGGGAAUACGUAGGGGGCAAGCGUUAUCCGGAUUUACUGGGUGUAAAGGGGGCGCAGACGGCAAUGCAAGCCAGGAGUGAAAGCCCGGGGCCCAACCCCGGGACUGCGCUUGGAAGUGCAUGGCUGGAGGACAGGAGG